Molecule: ribosomal RNA, 408 nt
Filed under: uncultured bacterium
Lineage: Bacteria
Description: partial 16S ribosomal RNA
Rfam family: Bacterial small subunit ribosomal RNA
Source: RNAcentral
GACGAACGCUGGCGGCGUGCUUAACACAUGCAAGUCGAACGACGUGGCGAACGGGUGAGUAAUACGUGGGUAACCUGCCCUCCUUUUUGGGAUAAGCCUUGGAAACGGGGUCUAAUACCGAAUAUCGGGGGAUGGGCUCGCGGCCUAUCAGCUUGUUGGUGGGGUGAUGGCCUACCAAGGCGGUGCCGGGUAGACGGGAUGAGAAGGUGACCGGCGACAUAGAGACUGAGAUACGGCCGAGAGUACGAAGCGGGGCAGAAGAGGGGGCUAUUGCACAAUGGGCGAAGUACUGAUGCAGCGACGACGCGUGGGGGAUGAAGGCUUUCAGGUUGUAAACGUCUUGCGCUAGCGAACGGGUAGGUGGAGAAGAAGCGCCGGCUAACUACGUGCCAGCAGCCGCGGUAAUUC